RNAcentral lists this ribosomal RNA (345 nucleotides) under Listeria monocytogenes. RNAcentral's name for it is "bacterial SSU rRNA". It matches the Rfam family "Bacterial small subunit ribosomal RNA", at positions 1122 to 1468 of the family's 1533-position model. Lineage: Bacteria; Bacillati; Bacillota; Bacilli; Caryophanales; Listeriaceae. The record is from RNAcentral.
CAUUUAGUUGGGCACUCUAAAGUGACUGCCGGUGCAAGCCGGAGGUAGGUGGGGAUGACGUCAAAUCUUCAUGCCCCUUAUGACCUGGGCUACUCACGUGCUACAUUGGAUAGUACAAAGGGUCGCGAAGCCGCGAGGUGGAGCUAAUCCCAUUAAUCUAUUCUCAGUUCGGAUUGUAGGCUGCAUCUCGCCUACAUGAAGCCGGAAUCGCUAGUUAUCGUGGAUCAGCAUGCCACGGUGAAUUCGUUCCCGGGCCUUGUACACUCCGCCCGUCACACCACGAGAGUUUGUAACACCCGAUGUCGGUUGGGUUUCCUUUAUGGAGCCAGCCGCCGAAGGUGGGAC